This 400-nucleotide unclassified non-coding RNA is filed under the name Pomacea canaliculata. Its description in RNAcentral is "uncharacterized LOC112564945, transcript variant X2". Lineage: Eukaryota; Metazoa; Mollusca; Gastropoda; Architaenioglossa; Ampullariidae. The record is from RNAcentral.
UGAAUAAAAGGCAAGCCUCGCGGCGUCUAAACAUCUUAAGUCUUCGUAAAAAGACAAAGACUUGAAGGAUGAAGGUGUACAUCGUGGUCCUGCUGGUCCUCGUGGCUGUGGUCGCUGCCACUGACUUCGAGAAGAGACUGUUUCUGCCCAGCCUCAGUGAACUGGUGGCCAAGCUGAAGUCUCUGCUGGUAUCUCACUCGACCGUGACGCUCGGUGUCUGUGAGGCUGCGUGUGGCGCAGUUGCUGAACUUGCGGCCCCCUUGUGUGCUCCAGCUUGUGAGCUCGUCGUUAAGGAACUGAGUGGAUGAGUGCUGAAUUCUUCAGGACUCGGUCCACCUCACCCUAGUCUUGCUGAUAUAACAGCAGACGACGAUGUAAAAUAAAUCCUUGAAAAAACCCA